This 253-nucleotide ribosomal RNA is filed under the name uncultured bacterium. Its description in RNAcentral is "partial 16S ribosomal RNA". It matches the Rfam family "Bacterial small subunit ribosomal RNA", at positions 524 to 776 of the family's 1533-position model. The record is from RNAcentral.
UACGAAGGGGGCUAGCGUUGCUCGGAAUCACUGGGCGUAAAGGGCGCGUAGGCGGCUCAUGAAGGCUGUGGUGAAAGUCCGGGGCUCAACCUCGGAUCGGCCGUGGCGACUCGUGGGCUGGAGCACUGUAGAGGCGGGUGGAAUUCCGGGUGUAGCGGUGGAAUGCGUAGAGAUCCGGAAGAACACCAGUGGCGAAGGCGGCCCGCUGGGCAGUGGCUGACGCUGAGGCGCAACAGCGUGGGGAGCAAACAGG